GUGCAGAUCAAAAUGUUUUUCCUCAAAUGUUUGUGAUGGAGACAGCACAACAAGAAUUGAUUAUAAGACCUUGUGAUACUUUUGAUCCAUGACUUAACAUUUAAUAAUCUUAACGUUAUUCCUGUAAUGCUAUAAGAACCAGUUCAAAUCCAACAGAACCUCUCUCUGUUUAUGGAAAUCUAUUUAGUGAUAAUGUGGAGCCCACCUGAACUUACCUUAAAGAGUAGAGGGUGAAGACUUGAAGUUUAUGCAACUUACUCCUACCCUUUAAUCACCUUGUCUAUCUAAUGCUAAACAAUGGAAUACAGAAUUUUCUUUGCUUUAAAGGUAGAGUAGAAACAUCAUCAGAUUGAUCUCCACUUGCACCCUACUCUUCUGUAUCUGAUGAAUUUGUAUGGAAGAAAGCUUAAGAUGUUCACAUAUAUAAUAUGAUCCAAUACAGCAUAUACACACCGUGGCUGUGUAAACAGGCUCAAUGGAGAUAUUUGGUGUUCGCAUUAUUUCUUUGUUACUUUUCUUGAUGCUUACUAAAAACUUAAGUUGCAAUGCUUUUGGUGGGAGUAUGAAGGAUGAGGAAGCACUCAAGGAAGGCCAAAAUGACAUGGAAAAUUCUGUCUCAAAUUAUGGGUUUGUGUUUGAAAUUCCUUGCAUCUGUAGUAGUCGUAUCUUAUGUUUACUUGGCACUCACGUCUUGUAUGUUUUUUAGUGAAAUGAGGGGCGUGGAAGAUGAUGAUUGGCAGAUGGUGCAAAAGAAGGGAAACCAAUUUGUGGUGAAUGACAAACCUUUCUAUGUGAAUGGAUUCAACACAUAUUGGCUUAUGGUAUUUGCUGCAGAUGAGUCCACCAGAGGAAAGGUCACUGAGGUGUUCAAGCAGGCAUCCUCAGUGGGUAUGACAGUUUGUAGGACGUGGGCCUUCAAUGAUGGCCAAUGGAGGGCCCUACAGAAAUCUCCAUCAGUUUAUGAUGAAGAAGUCUUCAAGGUGCUUUUUCAGUACUGUUUUGUUAUUCUGUGUAAUAUUCUACACUAAAUUGGUAUUCAGUUUACUGCAUAAAAUAAUACUUUACACAUAAUUAUAAUGUUAACUUGUCCGGUAUUAUCAGCUGUUUGUUACUUCAAUUGAACCAUGUUAAAUGUGCUAUAAUUGUUUGCUUGUGUAAGCUUUGCCAUGGUAAUUGAAAUCAGAAUAUGCUACAAUCAAACUUCAGAGUUUGUAGUCAUCAGUGCAGGUAAUUAGCAUACCUUGUGUAAUUCCAUUUUACUAUUGGUUUCUCAGGCCCUGGACUUUGUGGUGAGUGAAGCAAAGAAAUACAAAAUCAGGCUUAUAUUAUCAUUGUCUAACAACUGGGAGGCAUAUGGAGGCAAAGCACAAUAUGUGAAAUGGGGAAAUGCUGCUGGCCUUAACUUGACCUCUGAUGAUGACUUCUUCUCACAUCCAACUCUUAGAAGCUACUACAAGGCCCAUGUUAAGGCAAGUUCCUGUAAAUAAAGAAACAGGUCAAAACCACCAUUGCUAGUUUCAUCAGGACACUUGAAUUGAAGCCUGUUUGUUAUAUAUUGCAAAACUAAACCUACCCUGUAAUCAUAUCUUGAUAUGGACUGUUUUGUUUUUUUCUGUAAUUGUUUUUCUUUAUGAUUAUGCUAAGCUGGUUCCAAUACUAUUUUCACUGUGUAGACUGUGCUCAAUAGAGUUAACACUUUCACAAAUAUCACUUACAAGGAGGAUCCAACAAUUUUUGCUUGGGAGUUGAUGAAUGAGCCUCGUUGCACCUCAGAUCCCACAGGUGACAAGUUACAGGUUUAUCCCUUUCUUUUGGCUUCCAUAUCACAAGGAAGGGUCUAGAGGUAUUGUUUGAAAAGAAAACAUAGACACACUCUGUGUUGUCAUAAAUCACAUUGCAUUACACAAUUGCAUUCUAAUUAAUAGCAAGUUCUUUCCAUGAUGUCACAUAGUUCACUGAACCCAACUGCUCACUUGAAUGUGUAUUCUAGGAUUGGAUUCAAGAAAUGGCAUUCCAAGUGAAGAAAAUUGAUCCAAAACACCUAGUAGAGGUUGGACUAGAAGGAUUUUAUGGCCCAUCAACACCUCAGAGAACUCAGUUCAAUCCCAAUACAUAUGCUACACAGGUUGGAACUGAUUUUAUAAGGAACCACCUGGCUCUUGGUGUGGACUUCGCUUCUGUUCAUAUAUAUGCUGACUCUUGGUAAGUCUGUUCAGAAUUGCUAUUGUUUUAUUAAAAAAAUAUGAAGUUUUCAUAAAACUUACUCAUGUCAAACGUUCAUGUAAGGAGUUUCUUUUUCACGUUGUUAGUAUGAAAAUAUUUAUAUUGUUAACCAAUAGAAAAUAUGUCAAGUAUGUCAACCAAUAGACUUGUAAGGUAAUUAUUAUAAAAGUGGACAAACUUACCAUCAUGACAUCCUGUGAUUGGAUGACAGUUAUACUGUCAAUGCAUUUAAAUUAAAUUCUUAUACGAACUGUUUAUAUCAGUAUUACAUUCAUAUGCAUGCACAUUUGCCUAGUGUAUAAGAAAUACUGAUUGUUGUUAGUGAUUUAUUUUGACAUACAUAUACUACAGUUCUAACUUAAUCAGCUAUCUGGUUGAAGGAUUUCACAACAAAUUGCUGAUUCUCAUCUCUCAUUUGUAAAAUCAUGGAUGGAAGCCCACAUAGAUGAUGCUGAAAAGCAUCUUGGAAUGCCAGUUGUUUUUGCUGAGUUUGGUGUAUCUUCCAAAGACCCUGGCUACAAUUCAUCAUACAGAGAUACACUCAUAAGUAGUGUGUACAAUACCAUCCUAAACUCCACAAAGAAAGGAGGGAGUGGGGCUGGAAGCCUUUUGUGGCAAUUUUUUCCUGAUGGAACUGAUAACAUGGAUGAUGGCUAUGCAAUUGUUCUCUCAAAAUCUCCCUCCACCUCAAACAUUAUACAGCUUCAAUCCACUAGGCUUGCGAUGUUCAAUUCCUUGUGCAAUACUAAAUGCAAUUGGGGAUGUAAGAAGAAAAAGUUUUUGAACAACAUACUCUAUCACGAUGAACUGUAACACCAUGUGUGGGAAAGUUUCCAAUUGUAAUGCUGUGGUCCUAUAAAACCAUGCAUGGAUAAAUAUGUGAUUCACCAUACCUUUUGUUAUGAACAAUGCUCUAAUUUGUAUGUUGUGGCAUUAUUGUCACGCAAGGUCACCACCAUAUUAAACUAGAAGACUACUACAACAUUAUAUAGCAAUUUCUAAAAUAAAUAAGUUAGCAUUAUACUAUAGGUGCUAAGUACACCGAUUGCCUUGUGGAAAACAAAGCAAAUUGUAGAUUGGAAUACAAUGAACAAUAGUUUCGUAUAAGAGCAAUGGUUGAUUGAAAGUGUCAAAUGAAAUUGAAUAAAUAAACCAUCCAAUCUUAAAUAUCAUGGAUAAGUAAAAAAGUCCUUACUUAUAAGAAAAAAAAGAAAUAGAUUGUCUCUUCCUCCAGUUCUAUAUUUUUUGUAAGCAUUGGCAUUAUAGGCCAUCUCCUUCUAAACUCUGAAUAUUUAACCCUCGAAGAAAAAUGAGAAAAUUGAGUUUUCUCAAGGUCCAGAGGGUCCUAGAGGCCUUUAGAAGUUGGGGGUAAAGUGUUCAAAGUGAGAAAAUUGAGUUUUGAUCUUACUGAUAGUGCCUGAGUGCCCAUUUCAAGAGGCGCCAGCGCUGAGCGCCAACCCUUGGGUGCUCGAGCAAUGCGGGACGCCACUGCACUUGUUUUUUGGGGGCUUUCAGGGUUUUGGAUAUCCGUUUUGGAAAUUUUUUAGCUUGUUUUGAACACUUCUAGAGCAAUUGGUAAAUGGUUUCAAAGUUGUUUUCCUUACCUAAGUAUGAGUUUAAAGGCGUUUUGUGUUGUUUAAUGAUUCUUCUUGGACUGUUCUUGUGUAUUAAUGAUGUAUAUAUAAAAUGUUUGUGUGAAGUAUGUGGAUGAUUGUGUGAAUGUUGUUAAUGAACAUAAUUCCAUGAUUCACCAUACCUUUUGUUAUGAACAAUGCUUUAAUUUGUAUGUUAUGGCAUUAUCGUCACGUAAGGUCACCACCAUAUUAAACUAGAAGAUUGUUGCAUCGUUCUUCGUUCUUUUCAAUAAGAAUAUAUACAUGUGCACCAUUAUAUAGCAAUUUAUAAAACAAAUAAGUUAGCAUUAUACUAUAGGUGCUAAGUACACCGAUUGCCUUGUGGAAAACAAAGCAAAUUGUAGAUUGGAAUACAAUGAACAACAAUUUUGUACAAGAGCAAUGGUUGAUUGGAAGUGUUAAAUGAAAUUGAAUAAAUAAACCACCCAAUCAUAAAUAUCAUGGAUAAGUAAAAAAAUCCUUACUUAUUAGAAAAUGAGCAAUAGAAUGACUCUUCCUUAAGUUCUAUAAUUUAUGUACGCAUUGGCAUUACUGGCCAUCUCCUGCAAAACUUUGAAUAUUUACCCCUCGAAGAAAAAUGAGAAAAUUGAGUUUUCUCAGGGUCUAGAGGGUCUUGGAGGCCUUUAGAAGUUGCGGGUAAAGUGUUCAAAGUGGGAAAAUUUAGUUUUGAUCUUACUGAUAGCGCUUGAGUGCCCGUGUCUAGAGGCGUCAGCGCUGAGCGCCAACCCUUGGGCGCUCGAGCACUGUCGGACGCCACUGCACCUGUUUUUUGGGGGUUUUCAGGGUUUUGGAUAUCUGUUUUGGACGUUUUUUAGCUUGUUUUGAACCCUUUUAGAGCUGUUGGUAAUGGUUUCAAAGUUGUUUUCCUUACCUAAGUAUGAGUUUAAAGGAGUUUUGUGUUGGUUAAUGAUUCUUCUUGGACUGUUCUUGUGUAUUAAUGUAUAUAUAAAAUGUUUGUGUGAAGUAAUAUGUGGAUGAUUGUGUGAAUGGUGUUGAUGAACAUAAUUCCAUGAUUCACCAUACCUUUUGUUAUGAACAAUGCUUUAAUUUGUAUGUUGUGGCAUUAUCGUCAUGCAAGGUCACCACCAUAUUAAACUAGAAGAUUGUUGUAGCAUUCUUUGUUGUUUUCAAUAAGAAUAUAUACAUGUGCACAAUCAUAUAGCAAUUUAUAAAAUAAAUAAGUUAGCAUUAUACUAUAGGUACUAAGUACACUGAUUGCCUUGUGGAAAACAAAGCAAAUUGUAGAUUGGAAUACAAUGAACAACAAUUUCGUACAAGAGCAACGGUUGAUUGGAAGUGUCAAAUGAAGUUGAAUAAAUAAACAAUCCAAUCUUAAAUAUCAUGGAUAAGUAAAAAAAUCCUUACUUAUCAGAAAAAAAACACUAGAUUGUCUCUUCCUUCAGUUCCAUAUUUUUUGUACGCAUUGGCAUUACUGGCCAUCUCCUGCCAAACUCUGAAUAUUUACCCCUCGAAGAAAAAUAAUAAAAUUGAGUUUUCUCAAGGUCCAGAUGGACCUAGAGGCCUUUAGAAGUUGAGGGUAAAGUGUUCAAAGUGGGAAAAUUGAGUUUUGAUCUUACUGAUAGCGCUUGAGGGCCCGUGUCUAGAGGCGCCAACGCUAAGCGCCAACCCUAGGGCACUCGAGCACUGCGGGACACCACUGCACUUAUUUUUUGGGUGUUUUCAGGGUUUUGGAUAUCCGUUUUGGAUGUUUUUUUAGCUCGUUUUGAACCCUUCUAGAGUUGUUGGUAAUGGUUUCAAAUGGUUUUUCCUUACUUAAGUAUGAGUUUAAAGGAGUUUUGUGUUGUUUAAUGAUUCUUCUUGGACUGUUAUUGUGUAUUAGUGUAUAUAUAAAAUGUUUGUGUGAAGUAAUAUAUGGAUGAUUGUGUGAAUGGUGUUGAUGAACAUAAUUCCAUGAUUCACCAUACCUUUUGUUAUGAAUAAUGCUUUAAUUUGUAUGUUGUGGCAUUAUCGUCACGAAAGGUCACCACCAUAUUAAACUAGAAGACUGCUGCAACAUUCUUCGUUGUUUUCAAUAAGAAUAUUUACAUGUGCACCAUUAUAUAGCAAUUUAUAAAAUAAGUAAGUUAGCAUUAUACUAUAGCUGCUAAGUACACUGAUUGCCUUGUGGAAAACAAAGCAAAUUGUAGAUUGGAAUACAAUGAACAACAAUUUCGUACAAGACCAAUGGUUGAUUGGAAGUGUCAAAUGAAGUUGAAUAAAUAAACCAUCCAAUCUUAAGUAUCAUGGAUAAGUAAAAAAAUCCUUACUUAUCAGAAAAAAAGCAAUAGAUUGUCUCUUCCUUCAGUUUUAUAAUUUUUAUACGCAAUGAUUCUUCGUUGUUUUCAAUAAGAAUAUAUACAUGUACACCAUUAUAUAGCAAUUUAUAAAAUAAAUAAGUUAGCAUUAUACUAUAGGUGCUAAGUACACCGAUUGCCUUGUGGAAAACAAAGCAAAUUGUAGAUUGCAAUACAAUGAACAACAAUUUCGUACAAGAGCAAUGGUUGAUUGGAAGUGACAAAUGAAAUUGAAUAAAUAAAUCAUCCAAUCUUAAAUAUCAUGGAUAAGUAAAAAAAAUCCUUACUUAUCAGAAAAAAGAAGCAGUAGAUUGUCUCUUCCUUCAGUUCUAUAUUUUUUGUAUGCAAUGGCAUUACUGGCCAUCUCCUGCCAAACUCUGAAUAUUUACCCCUCGAAGAAAAAUGAGAAAAUUUAGUUUUCUCAAGGUCGAGAGGGUCCUAGAGGCCUUUAGAAGUUGAGGGUAAAGUGUUCAAAGAGGGAAAUUUGAGUUUGGAUCUUAGUGAUAACGCCUGAGCGCCCGUGUCUAGAGGCGCCAGCGCUGAGCACCAACCCUUGGGCGCUCGAACACUGCCGGAUGCCACUGCACCUGUUUUUUGGGGGGUUUUUAGGGUUUUGGAUAUCUGUUUUGGACGUUUUUUAGCUUGUUUUGAACCCUUCUAGAGCUGUUGGUAAUGGUUUCAAAGUGGUUUUCCUUAUCAAAGUAUGAGUUUAAAGGAGUUUUGUGUUGUUUAAUGAUUCUUCUUGGAUUGUGCUUGUGUAUUAAUGUAUAUAUAAAAUGUUUGUGUGAAGUAAUACAUGGAUGAUUGUGUGAACGAUGUUGAUGAACAUAAUUCCAUUAUCCUUGUGGAGAGGUUACAUGGCGGUGCCCUGUAGUGUUGUUUGUAUGAAGAGUCAGAGUUAAUCCGGAGGUUUAUGCUGAAGCUCUCAAUAACCUUAAUCUCUGGUAGAGAUGGAUUGUUAUGUGGUGAAGAGUAACAGGAGGUCUUAGUCUAUGUUCAUUGAUUAGGGACAUAGGUGUUGACGGACUAACCUUGUGGAUGAUAUAGGUUGGUGUUUGUAUUUGGAUUUGAAUGGGUAUUGUUGGAAGCCACCACAAGUACAUGAACUACCGUAGCUCGACAUUCAUAUUGUAUCUAGAUGGUCAAGUCUAGUUUGUGACAUGUUUAGGAUGAAUAUUUAUCUUGUGCAUGUAAUAUAAUGUAUGAUAGAACUUUCUUUGAUUAAGAUGAAUUGCUUAUCCAAUAGCUUACUCUUGCAUUUGUGUUAUGUAUAUGCUUUUUUUAAAGAUAAUCACCUAAAUGGUGUGAGCUUAGAGAUGAUAUCUUUGAGAGAUUUAACGUUUGGUUGAGAAAAAAAAAACAACAAAAUAGAUAGUUUUUGGUCAAUCAAAAAUAUGAUCUCUUGUUCUAAUAACCUCAAGUUUCUUGUAAGAUCUCAUUUAUGUAUGCCUUAUUUUAGUAGUUUUAUACUACUAAAUUGGAAUGUUACAUAUAUCACUCAUUUUGUUUGAUAUUUAUUAUUAUAAUUUCUUUUAUAGUUUAAACAAUAUUUUUUUUUUGAGUUUUUUUUUUCAUCAAAAGUUUAACUAAUAAAAAUUUUAUCUAUAUUUAUUUAAUUUGUUUCAAUUUUAUUAUUAAUAAUAUACUAAUGAGAUAUAAAAAAUUUAAGACAUUAAAAUAAAAUUAUUAUUAAAAUAUUUAUAAAAAAAAAUUCUAUAAGAUUUUGUUUAUGUUAACUAACCACAUACUUCCAUAUCAAUCAAACAAAAUUAGUUUAUAAUUCUAAUAUGUAGUCAAUCAGCUCGAUCCGGUUUUUGCGAACAAAAGCCGACAAGUCUCCAUUUCCAUCAUGUUAUUCAAAUAUUAAAAAUACAUUAACAAACACAAUAACUUAAAUAUAUAACAUUUAUUACUUGUUAAUGUUUUACAACAUCGUAUACUAAUUUAUUUUUAGGCUUAAUACCUCCCUUGUUCCUCGUAUUUGUGUGAAAAUCUCAGUCCGAUCCUUAAGUUUUGAACUGUCUCAAUUGGGUCAUAAUUUUUGUAAAAAUGCACACAUUUACCCUAACCGUUAACUGAUCUCAAACGGCGUUAAGUUUAGCUGACGUGGUAUGCUGACGUGUUGGCUUAAUCCCUUCUUGGUCCUCGUAUUUGUGUGAAAAUCUCAGUUCGGUCCUCAAGUUUUGAACUGUCUCAAUUGGGUCAUAAUUUUUGUAAAAAUGCACACAUUUUAUCCCAAUCGCUAACUGAUCUUAUUGUGCAACAGUUAUCUUCCGCUAUCAGUGGAAUAAAUAGCUUAAAGGUUUAUUGGUUACCAAGUUGGUUCAUUUGCAGAAAAGGCUGUGAGACUGAUUGCACUAGUUACGGGAGUUUUCCGGUGACUUUAUUUUUUGAAUCGACGAGAUAAUCUGUGUAAAAUCCUGAUUCUUAGAGAGAUGAAUAAAAUCCCUAUCCCUGAUUCUUAGAGAGAUGAAUAAAAUCCCUAAUUCAAAUAAACUAAAUAAUAAGCAUUGUGCCACGUGAAACACUGCUUAUUUUAAAAAAUAAUUCAUAUAAUUAAAUAAUACACGUCAGCAUGUCCUCUAGCUACACGUCAGCUAAACUUACGCCGUUUGAGAUCAGUUAACAAUUGUGGUAAAAUGUGUGCAUUUUUACAAAAAUUAUGACCCAAUUGAGANAGUUCAAAACUUGAGGACCGAANUGAGAUUUUCACACAAAUACGAGGACCAANAAGGGANUAAGCCAACACGUCAGCAUACCACGUCAGCUAAACUUAACGCCGUUUGAGAUCAGUUAACGGUUGGGGUAAAAUGUGUGCAUUUUUACAAAAAUUAUGACCCAAUUGAGAUAGUUCAAAACUUGAGGACCGAAGUGACAUUUUCACACAAAUACUAAGACCAAGGUAUUAAGCUUUUAUUUUUACAAAAUUAUAGUUAACUAUAUCAUAUUACACUUAAAAAAAAUUAAUCAAUUUUAAAAAUUAAAUAUACGAUUUUUUUUAGCUCAGUUUUGAAAAACUGAAUUUAUCAGAUUUUUAAUUCAGUUAAUCUAUUUCCAUCACUUUCAUUUCCAGUUAUUCCUAAAAGGUGAAUAAGAGCAAAUAAGAGUUUCAACUAAAAUCCAUGUAGACCUUGCCUGUCGUUGUCCACCGUGUGAUCCGGUCGUCGAAAGAGAGUUCCAACGAAAACUUACGGUGACCCUGCCGUGGCUCUACUGUGACGCGCGGCCGCUGCCACCGUGACCAUGUCUUCAAGGGGAAGCUCCAAUAAAAACUCACGGUGAUGUUAAUAUGCUAAAUGGUAAAUUUUGUUCGAUAAAUUGUCUUAACAGUUAAUUUGUAUUGUUCUUUGUAUUGUUACUAGGCCUAUCAUCAAUUUAUAGUAAUUGACCAACAUCAGAAUUGUUAUGGUAUCUCUGAUAAAUUCUAAUUUACUGCAUAAUUUUUUCAAUUGACAUUUUAUUAUAUAGGGGCUGCGUAUUUGUUACCUCAUCGUUUACUGCAUAAUGUACUGUUGUAGAUUUCUUUUAAUGGAUUCUCUCUAUUCUUUUGUAAAGUUUGGAUUUUGUUGUUCUAUGGGGAUUUCUUAUCUCUGCUAUGUGUUGUUCUGCUAUGAGCUCUUUGUCAGUAAUCUUGGCAGUGCAAGCUCUCUUCCAGAUCAAAAACAUUCUGACAGAUCAAGUCUCUUUGAUUUGUUCACUCUAAAGGUUAGCUUUGGGACAUUAUGUCUUCCACUCACUUUUUUUUUGUUGUAAAGUCAGAUUAUAGUUAUUCAUUAGAGGUGAUUCUUAUUUGUUAUUCGUGCCUCUUAAUUUACAUAAUGAUGACAAGGAGGAAGGGGGAAAAUGAUUUCUUCUGUUGUUACAGGCAUGAGAUUGUUUUUUGAGUGGGAAUAGGUGAAUUUCGGUUAUUGUGUCUUCAAUCCUUAUUUUCCACACACCAAUUCAGCCUGUCAAUGCUCUUGGUGCAGCCAUUGCAAUUCUUGGUACCUUCCUCUGUUCACAGGUACGUUUUCAUUUCUUUCAUUUCUGUUUGCUUACACAGUAUACUACCUAUCUGUUUGAGACUAAUUGAAAGUAGUGAUGAAGAAUUUUCCAUAUCUCUCAGGAUUUAACCUCUUAUACUUAAUGUUCUUCGUUACAAACUUCUUAUGUCAAAAGUGAAUUUCAUUCAUGACUCAGAAAAUAUACACAAGGUGCUACUUUUCAAUAUUUAUGCUCUGACACGUAAAUGGUUCACUGAACUGUAAUAUAAGUGAACUAAAAGAUGGAAAAUGAUAUUUUAACACCAUUUUUUGACAUCAUUUUGACACUGCACACGUGUCAAAAUGUGGUUAGACGAUUUCAAAUUAAAAAAACAAACUUUGGUUUUUCUCUUCCAAAUAUACNNCUGCCUCAACUUUUUUAAUUUGAAAUCGUCCAAUCACAUUUUGACAUGUGUAUCGUGUCAAAAUAGUGUCAAAAAAUGGUAUUAAAAUAUCAUUUUCCCUAAAAGAUAGUUCAAUUCAGAUUGGUCGAACUAUAUUUUAGUUACUUGAACUAUUUUAUAAUUAAUUAUAAAUUUUUAUAGUACAGUAUAAUGAAUAACCAAAAAUAGAAAAAUGUUUUCAAGUUUUUGUCUUCAAUUCUUUAAAAACGUGGUCAUCAAGAUGGUCACCAUCAGACUCUUCCUUUGAUGAAUAGUGUACAUCAUCAACAUCAAAAGCCAUAUUAUAAAAAUCAAUUGCAUCUAAAGUUGUAUUAGUUGAACUUGUUCCGGUUAAAUAAACAUUUUCACCAUCACCCACAUUGAGCGUCCUCAAAAUGAGUGAUCCAUCCAUCGUUAAACUCAAUAACAUUAAAUGGAAGAAAAAUAUCUUCAAAAGUGUGCAAAAAAUGAGUUUACUUUAUUCAAGCUGUAAUUGAGGAGUGAAUUUAUGAAGUCAUGAGUUUUCGAGUUGAACCUAAAGUUCAACAGCUAUGUUCAUCACUGUAACCAAAAUUUAGAUAUAAGACUAUAUUAUCUUACCUCGGUUUUCCCUCUACACGAAAGAAUUUAGAGACUUAAGAAAAGAUAUAAUAAAAGAACUUCUUUGUCGCCCCAAAGGUUAAAAUUUAAACUAAAAUUCCUUUCAACAUCACAAUGUCUAAAACAUGCAUGGUUUUUAAGAGAGAAAUAUAAGAAAAUUUUUAAGAGAGAAGAAAACUUACUCAAGGGUAUGGUUGAGAUUCAACCCAAACCCAAAAUUCUUUUUAACAUCGCAAUCUCUAAGACAUGCAUGGUUUUCAAAAGAGCAAAAUAUGAUUUUUUUUUUUUUUAAGAAAAGAGAUAAAGAAGAACUUAUAUUGUUUUACUAAGCCCACUCCCUUCUUAUUUGAAAGACCCAACAGUUUACUAAACUCAUCGCUUAGAAAUAUUAUUGGAAGGGUAACAUUUUUUUUCACCUCUAUAUUUUUAUUGUACCUUCAUAAAUUUUUUAGUUUCAGAUUAUACAAUUCAAAUGUAAAUUUUAUAUUCUAAAAUAUACAAUCUAAAAUAUAUUUUUUAUUUAGAAUUUCAAAAUGUACAAUUAUAAAAAUAAAUUAUAUUUUAAGAUUUUACAACUUAAAAUACAAAAAUUUUCAAGGUUGCAGAUCAAAAUGUUUUUGAUGGAGACAGCACAAGAAUUGAUCAUAAGACCUUGUACUAGAUUAUCCUGUGUGUAUACUUUUGAUCAAUGACUUAACAUUUAAUAAUCUUAACGUUAUCCCUGUAAUGCUAUAAGAACCGGUUCAAAUCCAACAGAGCCUCUCUCUGUUUAUCGAAAUCUAAUUAGUGAUAGUGUGGAGCCCACCUGAACUUACCUUAAAGAGUAGAGGGUGAAGACUUGAAGUUUAUGCAACUUACUCCUACCCUUUAAUCACCUUGUCUAUCCAAUGCUAACAAUGGAAUAGAGAAUUUUCUUUGCUUCAGAG
RNAcentral lists this long non-coding RNA (12082 nucleotides) under Vigna radiata. RNAcentral's name for it is "long non-coding RNA (VRAD_LNC003009)". Lineage: Eukaryota; Viridiplantae; Streptophyta; Magnoliopsida; Fabales; Fabaceae. The record is from RNAcentral.